RNAcentral lists this ribosomal RNA (460 nucleotides) under uncultured bacterium. RNAcentral describes it as "partial 16S ribosomal RNA". It matches the Rfam family "Bacterial small subunit ribosomal RNA", at positions 338 to 795 of the family's 1533-position model. The record is from RNAcentral.
CCUACGGGCGGCAGCAGUGAGGAAUAUUGGUCAAUGGACGAGAGUCUGAACCAGCCAAGCAGCGUGAAGGAUGACUGCCCUAUGGGUUGUAAACUUCUUUUAUAAAGGAAUAAAACGAGGCACGUGUGCCUUUUUGCAUGUACUUUAUGAAUAAGGAUCGGCUAACUCCGUGCCAGCAGCCGCGGUAAUACGGAGGAUCCGAGCGUUAUCCGGAUUUAUUGGGUUUAAAGGGAGCGUAGGUGGGUUGUUAAGUCAGUUGUGAAAGUUUGCGGCUCAACCGUAAAAUUGCAAUUGAUACUGGCAGUCUAGAGUACAGUUGAGGUAGGCGGAAUUCGUGGUGUAGCGGUGAAAUGCUUAGAUAUCACGCAGAACCCCGAUUGCGAAGGCAGCUUACUAAACUGUGACUGACAUUGAUGCUCGAAAGUGUGGGUAUCAAACAGGAUUAGAUACCCUAGUAGUC